CUUGCCCACCUUGGUCAUGUUGGUAAGGAGACCACCUUUGCCUUGUUCCCAUUGUAUCCAGGUACCCAGCACAUAGUAGGUGCUCUCGAAGGAAUGAUCUCGAAGGGAUGCAGGGGGAUGGCUGGCAGUGAGGCUCUUGGCAGAAGGGGCAGGAGGAACUGGGGUGAAAACCCAUAGUGAGUUAAUGUAACAUCGAAAUAUUUUCUACAACACCGUAGAGCAGAGCACGGAGCAUCAGUGAACAAUCAUAAAAGGUAAUCGACUCCUGUGUCAAACUCUCACUACCGCAGGAAGCAUGAA
Molecule: long non-coding RNA, 300 nt
Filed under: Chinchilla lanigera (long-tailed chinchilla)
Lineage: Eukaryota; Metazoa; Chordata; Mammalia; Rodentia; Chinchillidae
Description: lncRNA (ENSCLAG00000025631.1)
Source: RNAcentral